RNAcentral lists this ribosomal RNA (253 nucleotides) under uncultured bacterium. RNAcentral's name for it is "partial 16S ribosomal RNA". It matches the Rfam family "Bacterial small subunit ribosomal RNA", at positions 524 to 776 of the family's 1533-position model. The record is from RNAcentral.
UACGGAGGGUGCAAGCGUUAAUCGGAAUUACUGGGCGUAAAGCGCACGCAGGUGGCUGAGUCAGUCGAUUGUGAAAGCCCUGGGCCUAACCUGGGAAUUGCAGUCGAUACUACUCAGCUAGAGUAUGGGAGAGGGUAGUGGAAUUCCCGGUGUAGCGGUGAAAUGCGUAGAUAUCGGGAGGAACAUCAGUGGCUAAGGCGGCUACCUGGCCCAAUACUGACACUCAGGUGCGACAGCGUGGGGAGCAAACAGG